GCCAGGUGUGGUGGUGCGCACCUGUGGCCCCAGCUACUUGGGAGGCUGAGGUGGGAGGAUCGCUCGAGCCCAGGAGGUCUAGGCUGCAGUGAACCUCUGCUCGCACCACUGCACUCCGGCCUGGGCAACAGAGCGAGAUCCCGUCUCAA
Unclassified non-coding RNA from Callithrix jacchus (white-tufted-ear marmoset), 149 nucleotides. It matches the Rfam family "Metazoan signal recognition particle RNA". Rfam says of the family: The signal recognition particle (SRP) is a universally conserved ribonucleoprotein. It is involved in the co-translational targeting of proteins to membranes. The record is from Ensembl. NCBI's taxonomy places the organism in Eukaryota, Metazoa, Chordata, Mammalia, Primates, Cebidae.